RNAcentral lists this unclassified non-coding RNA (553 nucleotides) under Bombus terrestris (buff-tailed bumblebee). Its description in RNAcentral is "misc RNA ENSBTSG00005035053.1". Lineage: Eukaryota; Metazoa; Arthropoda; Insecta; Hymenoptera; Apidae. The record is from RNAcentral.
GAAUCCUAAAACCAGCAGAAGCUUCUUCAUGAACGAGUAGUCCGAUCUCCUGAAGCACGUCAUUCUCCUACGAAGUUUGAAGCACGAGUGUGUUUAGAUCAAUCGGUUGCCAGGUAUACAAUCCCCCCUUUCUGAAUUUAUGGCAAGAUACGGAGAAGGAGGUGGCAAAAUAUCAAGAGAGAGGAGGGGAAAAUAUCGAGAGAAGUGGCAAAAAUGAUUGACAGCACGGGCAAUUUGCAUGAAUCGAUAGUUGCAUCGGCUUCUUAUGUAGCGAGGGUGAAAAAAGAAAUUCUACCGAAGAUUUUGAGAAACCGAUUGUCAGAUGAGACAGUUGAUUUUUAAUAAGAUUGUAAUGAAAUUUCUUUAAAAUUCCAAUGCAACAGAAUUCUUAUAGAAAGUAAACUGCGGAUUUUUAUGUAUUUCAUUUAUAAUAUUUAGUGGAUAAAAUAAUUCUCUGCCUAGAUUCCAUUAUCUUUAAAUAUAUCCCCAAAUAUAUAAAUUUGCAUAAUAAUUUAUAGUUGAAUAAAAAGUAAUAUUAAUUGUUACAUCUGCC